This is a non-coding RNA of Vicia faba (fava bean), 495 nucleotides long. NCBI's taxonomy places the organism in Eukaryota, Viridiplantae, Streptophyta, Magnoliopsida, Fabales, Fabaceae. The record is from the annotation of a GenBank genome assembly.
AUGCACCACAACGAUCGUGUGAAGAUGCAGUUCGGAAUGCAUCAAGAGAUACCAAGUGAUCCAACAGAUUUGUCCCCCUGACAUCUAAAAAGGGUCGACGCCCAGUGGGGUCUUACCAACUGGAAAGACUUUGCUCCGGAAUGGUGUAAAAUGUGGCAAAGGCGUCACCGCUACAUCUUGCAAUCCCCGAUUUUCCUUACUCAAGGUAACAUGCGACACACUGAUCAAUAUAUGUCGUGGUACAGGUCGGUUAGUAACCCAGAAAUGCACGUGUCUCAUCCGAGGUACUUGGUUGACCCACGCACACAAUGGGCACAACCCUCGAUUCCCCAUCAACAAACCCAAAAUCCAUCAACCUCAAACCAACCCCCAAGAAGAAACAGACCAACAAACACACAACCACAUUCCCCACCACAACACAACUACAAUCAAAUGCCGUACUACCAACCACAAUCACCACCAAACUACCAAUACCCGGAUAUGCCUCAAACCCAA